UUUCUUUCUUUAGGUGACUAGCCACUUUAAAUGCAGUAAGAAAAGGAAUAGUACAGAAUGGAUGACCUCUAUCACAAUAAAGAAUGAUUGGCAAGGCAAGGGCACCAGGGAAGUUCACAGGAGCAGGAUCCAUAACAAAAGCAGCUUUCCAGCAGGGCAAAAUAAGGGCCAUGGUCCUUAAUAUCUUCUUGUUUGGAGGGAAUCAUAGCUCCAGUUUUGCUGUCCUUCAUCUUUAUACUGGGGUCCCUCCGGGCCUUAGACAAGAGGCUUGCUGAUUACCCCAUUUGAGACAAAGCGGGAGAGGAAGUCAAUUGUGUUACAUCUGGACUACAAAAAUAUUUUAUUUGUGGCUUUGCAGCUGGCUAACAAAGGAGUCAGAAGCAGCAUACAGGCCAUCCCUCCUUCCAGAAAGUUCUGUUCAUAAUACCUGCAAAUUUCCC
This 440-nucleotide long non-coding RNA is filed under the name Numida meleagris (helmeted guineafowl). RNAcentral describes it as "lncRNA (ENSNMEG00000018660.1)". The record is from RNAcentral. Lineage: Eukaryota; Metazoa; Chordata; Aves; Galliformes; Numididae.